UACGUAGGGAGCAAGCGUUGUCCGGAAUCAUUGGGCGUAAAGCGCGCGUAGGUGGCCAUUUAAGUCCGCUGUGAAAGUCAAAGGCUCAACCUUUGAAAGCCGGUGGAAACUGUGGGGCUAGAGUCCGGAAGAGGCGAGUGGAAUUCCUGGUGUAGCGGUGGAUGCGCAGAUAUCAGGAGGAACACCAAUAGCGAAGGCAGCUCGCUGGGACGGUACUGACGCUAAGGCGCGAAAGCGUGGGAGCGAACAGG
RNAcentral lists this ribosomal RNA (251 nucleotides) under uncultured bacterium. RNAcentral's name for it is "partial 16S ribosomal RNA". It matches the Rfam family "Bacterial small subunit ribosomal RNA", at positions 524 to 776 of the family's 1533-position model. The record is from RNAcentral.